GGCCCCGUAGUUUAGUUGAAUAGAACGACAGAUUCCGGUUCUGUAGGUCACAGGUUUGAGUCCUGUCGGGGUCA
RNAcentral lists this transfer RNA (74 nucleotides) under Dysgonamonadaceae bacterium. RNAcentral describes it as "tRNA-Arg". It matches the Rfam family "tRNA". From Rfam's summary of the family: Transfer RNA (tRNA) molecules are approximately 80 nucleotides in length. Their secondary structure includes four short double-helical elements and three loops (D, anti-codon, and T loops). Further hydrogen bonds mediate the characteristic L-shaped molecular structure. tRNAs have two regions of fundamental functional importance: the anti-codon, which is responsible for specific mRNA codon recognition, and the 3' end, to which the tRNAs corresponding amino acid is attached (by aminoacyl-tRNA synthetases). tRNAs cope with the degeneracy of the genetic code in two manners: having more than one tRNA (with a specific anti-codon) for a particular amino acid; and 'wobble' base-pairing, i.e. permitting non-standard base-pairing at the 3rd anti-codon position. The record is from RNAcentral. Lineage: Bacteria; Pseudomonadati; Bacteroidota; Bacteroidia; Bacteroidales; Dysgonomonadaceae.